Cucumis melo (muskmelon) is the source of this 81-nucleotide non-coding RNA. Lineage: Eukaryota; Viridiplantae; Streptophyta; Magnoliopsida; Cucurbitales; Cucurbitaceae. The record is from Rfam.
CGGAGUGAUGAAAAACAGGGGAGGCUGCACCAGACUGACCAGAAAAUGAGGUAGCAAAAGAUCGCCCAGUACCAUCUGGAA